Molecule: ribosomal RNA, 253 nt
Filed under: uncultured bacterium
Lineage: Bacteria
Description: partial 16S ribosomal RNA
Rfam family: Bacterial small subunit ribosomal RNA
Source: RNAcentral
UACGUAGGGACCAAGCGUUGUUCGGAUUUACUGGGCGUAAAGGGCGCGUAGGCGGCUUGUCAAGUCACUUGUGAAAUCUCUGGGCUUAACCCAGAACGGCCAAGUGAAACUGACAUGCUAGAGUGCAGAAGGGGCAAUCGGAAUUCCAGGUGUAGCGGUGAAAUGCGUAGAUAUCUGGAGGAACACCGGUGGCGAAGGCGGCAUCCUGGACCAACACUGACGCUGAGGAGCGAAAGCCAGGGGAGCAAACGGG